UACGUAGGGGGCAAGCGUUGUCCGGAAUCAUUGGGCGUAAAGAGCGUGUAGGCGGCCCGAUAAGUCCGCCGUGAAAGUCCAGGGCUCAACCCUGGGAUGCCGGUGGAAACUGUCGGGCUAGAGUCCGGAAGAGGCGAGUGGAAUUCCUGGUGUAGCGGUGAAAUGCGCAGAUAUCAGGAGGAACACCAGCGGCGAAGGCGGCGCUCUGGGCCGGAACUGACGCUGAGGAGCGAAAGCGUGGGGAGCAAACAGG
This 253-nucleotide ribosomal RNA is filed under the name uncultured bacterium. RNAcentral's name for it is "partial 16S ribosomal RNA". It matches the Rfam family "Bacterial small subunit ribosomal RNA", at positions 524 to 776 of the family's 1533-position model. The record is from RNAcentral.